This 483-nucleotide long non-coding RNA is filed under the name Helianthus annuus (common sunflower). Its description in RNAcentral is "hypothetical non coding rna". The record is from RNAcentral. Lineage: Eukaryota; Viridiplantae; Streptophyta; Magnoliopsida; Asterales; Asteraceae.
UUUUUUUUAAGUUAUUAGUAUUUAGGUUAACGAAUCAAUAUUGAGCAUAUCAUAUUUGGGCUAGGCUUUAUGAAUUAAUAUUGGCAAUAAGUUUUUAGAUAUUAGGGGGGUGUUUGGGGUUGAGUUUUGAAAAUAGAUUAUGCAUUGGGCUAGGCUUAUUUUUAAUUUUUAGAUCGAAAUUAAACAGUUUAAGAACUCAAGAAGAAAAGAAAUAAAGAAUACUCACAAUCACAAUUAGCACAACAAUCUAAUACACUAUUGGGUUAUUAUUUGGUUAUUUGGGCUAAUUACUAUUGGGCUAUCAUUUGUUUUUUUGGGCUAAUAUAAUCAGUAUUAUUUGGGCUUGAUUUCAGUUUGUAAAUUUUUUUUCAGGGGUGUCCUAGUACUUGUUGAGGGGUGUCCUUAGUAUAAAAAUUGAAAAAAAAAAAAUUUUACACUACCGGAAAAAAGUUGAGCCGUAGCCCGUGCUACGCCUCAACCUAC